RNAcentral lists this long non-coding RNA (508 nucleotides) under Gallus gallus (chicken). Its description in RNAcentral is "long non-coding RNA NONGGAT006558". The record is from RNAcentral. Lineage: Eukaryota; Metazoa; Chordata; Aves; Galliformes; Phasianidae.
UUGUGUUCAGCAUUCUGCAUCCCAUUCCCACAUCCCAUUCCUGCAUCCCAUUCCCACAUCAUGUUUAGCAUCCCACUUCCCAUUCCCAUAUCCCAUUCCUGCAUCCCAUUCCCACAUCACGUUCAGCAUCCUGCAUCCCAUUCCCACAUUGUGUUCAGCAUCCUACAUCCCAUUCCCACAUCCCAUUCCUGCAUCCCAAUCUUGCAUCGUGUUCAGCAUCCUGCAUCCCAUUCCCACUUCCCAUUCCCACAUCCCAUUCCUGCAUCCCGUUCCCACAUUGUGCUCAGAAUCCCACAUCCCAUUCCCUCAUCCUAUUCCUGCAUCCCAUUCUCACAUCCCAUUCCUGCAUCCCAAUCCUUCAUUGUGUUCACCAUCCCACAUCCCAUUCCCACAUCCCAUUCCUGCAUCCCAUUCCCACACUGUGUUCAGCAUCCCACAUCCCAUUCCCUCAUCCUAUUCCUGCAUCCCAUUCUCACAUCCCAUUCCUGCAUCGUGUUCAGCAUCCCAC